This is an RNA transcript of Sander lucioperca (pikeperch), 758 nucleotides long. It is a transcript of the gene named COX8 domain-containing protein, with no coding region annotated. Lineage: Eukaryota; Metazoa; Chordata; Actinopteri; Perciformes; Percidae. The transcript is spliced from 3 exons. The record is from RefSeq and is a predicted model, not a curated record.
GAACACACCAUCAGCAAACGGAGAACAAGAAGUCAGACUCCGUGGAGAAGAAGACUUCAGAGUAUUGUUCUUCAGACUAUCAGAGUCCAACAGGUGUUUGUUGUCUUGACGAUGGUGAGCGCUAUCCUGAGGAUGAUGGGAAAUCGUUCUGCUUCGACUUUGACUCGUCCAAAAGAAAUCCUGAAAGAGACAAAGAAGAUGAUUUACAGCAAACCUCCGAAGAACAAGAUCGGAGCCGCACAAAGCUUCUUCGUUAUGUCGGUGUUUGCGGCGGCCAUGUUGACGCCAGCUGCCUGGAUCCUUCAUCACCUGCCGGAGUACCGCCAGCGGUCCAAACAGAGACCCAGAGACUGAUCUUCAUCCUCCUCCUCUUCAUCAACACAUCAAUAUAUCAGAUAUAUGUUUCUUAAUUCAUCUGUAAUAUUGUUCUUUAAUCAGUUAAAGUUAAAUCAUGUUUAAUCUAAUUAUUGUCCAGAGUUAACUAAGAUGUUCUUCUGUUGUAAAUGCCCUUCAGUAAGGAAGUCAAGUUUAUUUGUAGAUCACUUAUUCCAGACAAAGUCACAAAGUGCUUCAAAGGCCAACUUACAUUUGUUUAAGGGCUAUGUUUCCAGGGUUUAAAGCUCCAGUGGUGUCUGAGACUGGACGUACUCAGGUAGUAACUCACCGUACUCUGGUAGUAACUCACCAUACUCAGGUAGUAACUCACCAAGAUACUCUGGUAGUAACUCACCGUACUCUGGUAGUAACUCACCAAGAUA